UUACUUACCUGGCAGAGGCAAUACUAUGAUCAAGAAGGUGGUUUGCCCAAAGCGAGGCUCAGCCAUUGUACUUGAGCUGGGCUGACCUUUUCGAAUUCCUCAAAUUCAGGAAUCUCAACUGUAUAAUUUCUGACAGUGGGGGAAUGCAUUUGUGCUCUCCCCUU
This is a small nuclear RNA of Neoarius graeffei (lesser salmon catfish), 164 nucleotides long. RefSeq annotates it as U1 spliceosomal RNA. The record is from RefSeq and is a predicted model, not a curated record. The transcript has a single exon. NCBI's taxonomy places the organism in Eukaryota, Metazoa, Chordata, Actinopteri, Siluriformes, Ariidae.